Molecule: non-coding RNA, 262 nt
Organism: Pelobates cultripes (western spadefoot toad)
Lineage: Eukaryota; Metazoa; Chordata; Amphibia; Anura; Pelobatidae
Source: the annotation of a GenBank genome assembly
AACUGCUGAACGCUGCUGGAGAAAGUCUCACUUUGCAUCUGACUUUGUCCACUAUAAAUUUAUGCUGCGCUCCUACAGCAUGGCUCUUUCCUCUGCAAAAGUAAGCUACUUCAACACCCUCAUAAGCACACUGUCCCACCAACCCAAACACCUGUUUCACACUUUUGAUGCACUUCUUCGCCCUGUGACUCCCCCUCCUUCCACCACUUUGUCCGCUACAAACUUUGCAUCUCAUUUCACUGAGAAGAUCUCUACAAUCAGG